This 584-nucleotide long non-coding RNA is filed under the name Linum usitatissimum (flax). RNAcentral's name for it is "long non-coding RNA (LUSI_LNC005479)". The record is from RNAcentral. Lineage: Eukaryota; Viridiplantae; Streptophyta; Magnoliopsida; Malpighiales; Linaceae.
GAAAGAUUUUUGAAAAAAUUUCACUCAUCCUCCCAUCACUCCUUAAAUCACACUCGAACCUCAUUUAAAUUACAUUUAAAUCACUUUUAAGAUCUCAUCCGAAUCGCAGUCAAUACCUUACUAUCAUCGAGCUCAACCUAACUUUAUCGCAUUCGGCCUCAUAAAUAUCAACAUCAUCGCAUUGUCACACCUCUGAGAUAAGCAUCGUUUGAGCCACCUCGCAAAAAAAACCUAUAAUAAUAGCAACCACCUAAACACCAAAUAUCGUUUCCAAAAGUGAAAGGUAAACAAAACAAAUAUUAUUGAAGUACCUACUUUGCCAUCUUACUCACAUUUUAAUUUACAUAUCAUAUCAUUUUAAGUAUGCUUUGAUUAAAACUUAAAUAUCAAACUUAGGAUAUAUGUAGAUCGGUGGUUGUUAAAGACACCACCAACUUUGACCUUAAUCCUUUAAAUGUUGGUUUAUUGGCUUGUAUGGACUCUGUAUGCUAAAUAACUCAAAACAUGGCAAAUAUGACAUAAUUAGCUAAGAUAAUAAAAUAGCAAAAGUGGACUUAAUGAUGAUUCAAGUUAAGUAAAACAAG